AUAAUCACCAGCAGGGAGGAUACCAUGAUCAAGAAGGUUUUCCCAGGGUGAGGCUCUCCCAUUGCACUCUGGGUAUGCCGGCUCCUGUGAUUUUCCCAAAUACAGGAGAUUCAACUGCAUGAUUUGUGGUAGUAGGGGACAGCAUUUGAGCUUUUCCCUU
Peromyscus californicus insignis is the source of this 160-nucleotide small nuclear RNA. RefSeq annotates it as U1 spliceosomal RNA. NCBI's taxonomy places the organism in Eukaryota, Metazoa, Chordata, Mammalia, Rodentia, Cricetidae. The transcript has a single exon. The record is from RefSeq and is a predicted model, not a curated record.